UGGCUCUCGCAUCGAUGAAGAACGCAGCGAAAUGCGAUAAGUAAUGUGAAUUGCAGAAUUCAGUGAAUCAUCGAAUCUUUGAACGCAAAUUGCGCUCUUUGGUAUUCCGAAGAGCAUGCCUGUUUGAGUGUCAUAAUAACCCUCACCUUUCUGGUUUUAUGAACCGGUUAUUGGUGGUUUGGACGUCUUGCCAGCUUCACGGCUGGCUCGUCUUAAAUGCAUUAGUGAAAACGAUAGCGUGAUAAGUCUUCGCUUGAAUCUCACUCUAAAAACCUAUUUCUCUGACCUCAAAUCAGGUAGGACUACCCGCUGA
RNAcentral lists this unclassified non-coding RNA (313 nucleotides) under uncultured fungus. RNAcentral describes it as "partial contains 5.8S ribosomal RNA and internal transcribed spacer 2". The stretch from base 1 to 133 matches the Rfam family "5.8S ribosomal RNA", at positions 22 to 154 of the family's 154-position model. Lineage: Eukaryota; Fungi. The record is from RNAcentral.